Long non-coding RNA from Dermacentor andersoni, 1082 nucleotides. RefSeq lists it as uncharacterized. The record is from RefSeq and is a predicted model, not a curated record. Lineage: Eukaryota; Metazoa; Arthropoda; Arachnida; Ixodida; Ixodidae.
AAAGGAAAUGCGGGUAAGACAGAUGACGAUUAUCGUUGUGUGGCAAAAUACAACCCAAAGGGUGUAAAUUUUUUUUUUAGAGUGUAGAAAAAUCUGCGCUCAUGCCCAUAUUUAGUGGUAUAGCUGAACGGCAAUGGUCGACAGGUUUUCCUCCGCUAACCCGGGCCCGCACACUCGCGAACGUUGUCUCGCGUAAGGAACAUUUACCGAUUUGGCUGGCAUUCGUGUGCCCGUCCCUCGUGACAUAGCUGUCGGCGUUAUAACAAGAUUGCGGCGGCGGCGACAAAUCUUGGAUUGCACUUACGUAAGAUUUUGCGAUAUUGCGCGUGCGGUGACGCCGCGGAUGAGUAUGUCUAACGCGUUAAAGACACUGCAGCCGGUGUUGCUCCGAGACGCAGCCGGCGUUACUCGAUGCUGAGUCAUCGCUGGUGGGGCUUGCGCGUUUCUUUCGCGAGUGCGCAAACUUGUCCGCGUACUACCUCGACCAGUAGCCACGGGUCCGGCUCCAUUUUAGCCCCGAAGACGACACGCGGCGGCAUUUCUUUUUUUUUUUUUUUUUUUUUUUUGCGAGCUGCAGAGCGAUUUCGAGCGGCCGACGCAACGCAACGGGGCCCAUGUCGGCGCUUCUGCAUAUAUCGCCCGUGUCCCUGGAAUUCUUCGGCGCAGGAAACUUCCUGCUCACGGCGCGGUUAGCGUGCAUUUCUCUACUGCAUCGAGGACUGCGCGUGACGUCACUCUCACCCUUGCGUGUCGUUCAUCGUGUUGCAGCAGUAAGUGAAAUCCACGCGGGUCGCCAUUUCUACCAAGCCUACAUAAUUCACGGGAAAGCCUUUCAACUGGACCGAAAAAGGCGUUCUUGGCUGAUGCCAGUAUAGACAAGUGCCUAGAACAGAAGUGGAAACCAGGAAGAAAAAGAGUUCACAUCACAAGAUGCUGCUCGUCGGACGGAAGGUACCUCUGACGGCCACAAUUUGAGCUCUUGUCUUGAAUUUGCGUUGUGUUCUGCAUUGAGUUGUACACUGAAGAGAUUCGAAAUAAAAGAAUGGGUAUCAGUUUGGGCAGCGCCAAACAGGCAACAAGGA